Molecule: ribosomal RNA, 115 nt
Filed under: Danio rerio (zebrafish)
Lineage: Eukaryota; Metazoa; Chordata; Actinopteri; Cypriniformes; Danionidae
Source: RNAcentral
GCCAACAGCUAGCUCUCUGCAACUAUCUCAUGGUUGCCCACUGAAGCUAAGCAGGGCUGUAUCUGGUCAGUACCUGGAUGGGAGACCACAUGGGAAGACUAGGUUGCUGCAGGAA